GAUGAACGCUGGCGGCGUGCUUAACACAUGCAAGUCGAACGGAAAGGCUCCUGCUUGCAGGGGUACUCGAGUGGCGAACGGGUGAGUAACACGUGGGUGAUCUGCCCUGCACUUCGGGUUAAGCCUGGGAAACUGGGUCUAAUACCGGAUAGGACGAUGGUUUGGAUGCCAUUGUGGAAAGUUUUUUCGGUGUGGGAUGAGCUCGCGGCCUAUCAGCUUGUUGGUGGGGUAAUGGCCUACCAAGGCGUCGACGGGUAGCCGGCCUGAGAGGGUGUACGGCCACAUUGGGACUGAGAUACGGCCCAGACUCCUACGGGAGGCAGCAGUGGGGAAUAUUGCACAAUGGACGCAAGCCUGAUGCAGCGACGCCGCGUGGGGGAUGACGGCCUUCGGGUUGUAAACUCCUUUCGCUAGGGACGAAGCGCAAGUGACGGUACCUGGAGAAGAAGCACCGGCUAACUACGUG
Molecule: ribosomal RNA, 466 nt
Filed under: uncultured bacterium
Lineage: Bacteria
Description: partial 16S ribosomal RNA
Rfam family: Bacterial small subunit ribosomal RNA
Source: RNAcentral